CUGGUAAUCACAACUUUACAAACAUAACAAAAGGAAAUGCUUUUAAAUCAUGUAUCAGUGAAAAUCUAGCUAAUGUAAAGAAGGUCUCAAAUAUAUGAUCCAUCUAUUUAAAGGAAGCUGGUAAAGAUGGUUUUAAGGCUCAUCUGCAGAUGCCCAAGUAACAGGUUACAAAACCCUUGUACUGCUUUUAUUCCCAUGGCAUAAUAGAAAGCACUUUGAAAAACGAUUAAACAAUCCUGUGAAGUAUAGAUUAAUCAUUUUUCCUUAAUUUAGAGUGUGGUUCAAAUUUAAUUGUAGAAUUGAAGCUUGAAAGUUUAAUAUCUAAAUUAUUUGGUUGAAAAAUACAAGUAUGGGUAUCCAAUCUCCUUGCACCAAAUUAUGAAAUUGACUUUACGUUCAUAAAUACCUAAAGUUGCAACCCAAAACGCUCUACUGGGUAACUUUAUGAGAUUGAACAUGAAUGUAGACUCAAGUAGAGUACAUCGAAAAGAAGAGUAAUUUUCUCCUUCAAACCAUGGGUAUUGGUUACAGUUUAACAGAAAAUGCACCUCAAAACCCAAACCUGAUGCAAUGGAGGGAGAGCGUUGUUAUAAAUGGAUAGCAUAUGUUUCUCUUGUAAAUCUGCAGAAGCUUCACUUUGUGAAUGUGCAAUUGACAGACUAGGUUUGACAGACCAGCUGAAUCUAGUCUACUAAGGCCAAGAAUGUAAAGGUUAUAUGGGAUACAAUGUUGCUAUGUUGGUAGACAGAAAGAAACAGUUGUUAUCUAUAUUUCAGUUAGCACCUGCGUGCAAUAGUUGGAAAGUUAAAGGAACAGGCAAUACCCCAUCAGCUAGGAAUGAAGAUAACAUGAGAGUGCAGAGAGCUUAGCGCACGUGGUGCAUUUAUAGCACCCCAUAGAUGCUACAAAUAAUCUCUGGUUCUAGGUGGAGAGACCUUCAUGCAGCAUUCGGUAUUAAGAUCUCAAUAAACAAGAAACAUUGAAGAGAAAUAUUUGGAAAAUAUGUAUCACAUCCAUUAUUUCGUGUGAAAUUAAACUUAAAAUGACAAAUACAGAUAAGCAGUCUGGGUUUAAAGGGAUCAUGAGUGUAGGGAUGAUCUUUAUGUAAAGCAUUAGGAAAUGGUUUAUGUAAAUUGGGAAACCAUAGGACACUGAAUAAUAUGGAGUUUCAAGGAGAGGUUACUGAUUGUUGAUCUCUCUCGCCCUUCAAAGGUGCUGAUUUUCUUCAUAGAGUACAAGGGUUUAAGGACCGUCUAGAGCAUAGAAGGAUCUAUCUUAGGGUUAAUUAACAUAUGCAGAAAUGCUGAGUAUCAACCUUUUUGUUUGAGAAGUUGUGAAACUAAACUGCAAGGGUGGUUUUCUGUUUCUCACUCUCUAUCUUAAGCAGUGUGCUUCUAGUCUUCAGACUCUUUUAAGGUGAAGUGGGGGACCGGAGGGCCGCUCUUACUGUGUUGGUUUCC
Molecule: long non-coding RNA, 1460 nt
Filed under: Amborella trichopoda
Lineage: Eukaryota; Viridiplantae; Streptophyta; Magnoliopsida; Amborellales; Amborellaceae
Description: long non-coding RNA (ATRI_LNC002088)
Source: RNAcentral